This 1700-nucleotide unclassified non-coding RNA is filed under the name Dermacentor andersoni. RNAcentral describes it as "beta-hexosaminidase subunit alpha-like". The record is from RNAcentral. Lineage: Eukaryota; Metazoa; Arthropoda; Arachnida; Ixodida; Ixodidae.
AACAAUAGAAGUAAGCCAAGGCUUAGAGCAAAGGAGUGCGGUGUUGCAGCGGAGGUAAGAACGGCGUCAGAACACCUCGGAGGGAUACGGCGCAGCAAUCCUCUCCCUCUGGCCGGAACAUCACAAUGACCGGCGGCCGCCUGACCCUCGCCAUGACUCUCUCUCAUAUGCUGGUGAUUGCGCUGUGUGUAACCCACGUAUCGCUGGCGCAGCGCCUAAGAAGAUAUAGACACGUCAGCCGCCCGUGGGUGGUGUCACCGAGCCGUGGCGAGGCAUGGCCCCGGCCCAUGAAGCAGACUACGGGGCCUGAUCUGCUCUUGCUGAACCCAAGCACGUUCACCUUCGUGUUCGUCGGGCCCCCUGGAGGCUGCGACGUCGUCGACCGGGCGCUAAAGCGAUACCGUAACCAGCUGAUCUUCAGCGGUUGCUUGGGGCCCAGAGGAGAGACUGCCAGCCAGAGCAGGGUACCUCCCCUUGGCCCUGUCAAGGGCCUGCCCGUAGCCGGCAUAAACUCGCUGCUUGUCCUACUGGGUGGGCCGUGCGAGCACAUACCGCAUCACGACAUGGACGAAGCAUACACUCUGGAGCUGACGGUAAACUCACAGCCUUCACUUAGGGCCAGUUCCGUUUGGGGUCUGCUGAGGGGUCUGGAGACGUUCAGCCAGGUCGUGUACCCCUACGACGGCUUUCAGUUCGCUGUCAAUGAGACUGUCAUCCACGACGCCCCAAGGUUCCAGCACCGCGGUCUUCUCAUCGACACUUCCAGGCACUUCCUCCCGCUCAAGAAGAUUGUCGAGACAUUGGACGCUAUGGCUUACAACAAAAUGAACGUCCUCCACUGGCACAUGACCGACGACCAGUCUUUUCCUUUUGUCAGCAGAACGUUUCCAACUCUCAGUGAAAAAGGUGCUUACGAUCCUGAAACGCACGUGUACAGGCCCACUGACGUACAGUACGUGAUUGGCGAGGCCGCAGCCAGAGGCAUCCGGGUCAUGGUAGAAUUCGAUACUCCCGGCCACACGUUGUCGUGGGGCCAGGCGUACCCCGAGCUGCUGACCACAUGCUACAAAGGCGACGCGCCGAAUGGCGAGCUGGGCCCUGUGGACCCGACGCGCAACGAGACCUACGUUUUCAUGGCGCACUUCUUCGCCGAGGUGGCGCGCGUCUUUCCUGACCGGUACCUCCACCUGGGGGGAGACGAGGUCAACUUCGAUUGCUGGCAGUCUAACCCGAACAUCACGAGCUUUAUGCGAAGAAUGGGAUUUCCAUCGCGCUUCGACAAAUUGGAGGAGCACUACAUUCAGAGAUUGCUAGAAAUUAUUCAGAACCUGCGCAAGAGCUACGUGGUUUGGCAGGAGGUGUUCGACAACAAGGUGAAGAUUGCUCCGGACACGGUGGUGCACGUGUGGAAGCCGCCACAGAAUGAGGAGCUGUCCUCGGUAACGUCUGCGGGCUACAGGGCACUACUGUCAGCUUGCUGGUACCUGGACUACAUAUCCUACGGUGCUGACUGGAAGAAGUACUACGUCUGCGACCCGCACCACUUCUCAGGCCCCGCGCUUCGGCGGCAGCCGAACGGCUGUGGAGUCCAGCUUCGGUGAAUAGCGUGGAAGAAGCGGCCCCCAGGUUGGAAGAGCAUCGUUGCAGGAUGAGGAGGCGCGGACUGAUGGUUGAACCUCAGAAUGGUCCUGGGUUCUGCG